This 441-nucleotide ribosomal RNA is filed under the name uncultured bacterium. Its description in RNAcentral is "partial 16S ribosomal RNA". It matches the Rfam family "Bacterial small subunit ribosomal RNA", at positions 338 to 795 of the family's 1533-position model. The record is from RNAcentral.
CCUACGGGAGGCAGCAGUGGGGGAUAUUGCACAAUGGGGGGAACCCUGAUGCAGCGACGCCGCGUGGGUGAAGGAGCGUUUCGGCGCGUAAAGCCCUAUCGGCAGGGAAGAAGGAGGACGGUACCUGACUAAGAAGCCCCGGCUAACUACGGGCCAGCAGCCGCGGUAAUACGUCGGGGGCAAGCGUUAUCCGGAUUUACUGGGUGUAAAGGGGGCGCUGACGGGAGCGAAAGUCAGGAGUGAAAGCCCGGGGCCCAACCCCGGGACUGCUCUUGGAACUGCGCGGCUGGAGUGCAGGAGGGGCAGGCGGAAUUCCUGGUGUAGCGGUGAAAUGCGUAGAGAUCAGGAGGAACACCGGUGGCGAAGGCGGGCGGCUGGACUGCGACUGACGUUGAGGCCCGAAAGCGUGGGGAGCAAACAGGAUUAGAUACCCUAGUAGUC